This 429-nucleotide ribosomal RNA is filed under the name Gemmatimonadota bacterium. Its description in RNAcentral is "Gemmatimonadetes bacterium partial 16S ribosomal RNA". It matches the Rfam family "Bacterial small subunit ribosomal RNA", at positions 355 to 776 of the family's 1533-position model. Lineage: Bacteria; Pseudomonadati; Gemmatimonadota. The record is from RNAcentral.
UAGGGAAUCUUCGGCAAUGGACGAAAGUCUGACCGAGCAACGCCGCGUGAGUGAAGAAGGUUUUCGGUUCGUAAAACUCUGUUGUUAGAGAAGAACAAGGACGUUAGUAACUGAACGUCCCCUGACGGUAUCUAACCAGAAAGCCACGGCUAACUACGUGCCAGCAGCCGCGGUAAUACGUAGGUGGCAAGCGUUGUCCGGAUUUAUUGGGCGUAAAGCGAGCGCAGGCGGUUUCUUAAGUCUGAUGUGAAAGCCCCCGGCUCAACCGGGGAGGGUCAUUGAAAACUGGGAGACUUGAGUGCAGAAGAGGAGAGUGGAAUUCCAUGUGUAGCGGUGAAAUGCGUAGAUAUAUGGAGGAACACCAGUGGCGAAUGCGGCUCCCUGGUCUGUAACUGACGCUGAGGCUCGAAAGCUUGGGGAGCAAACAGG